RNAcentral lists this ribosomal RNA (330 nucleotides) under Triticum aestivum (bread wheat). RNAcentral describes it as "partial small subunit ribosomal RNA". The record is from RNAcentral. Lineage: Eukaryota; Viridiplantae; Streptophyta; Magnoliopsida; Poales; Poaceae.
AUGGUGCGGCGGACAGAAGACCUCACCAAAGAGGACGCCCGGGAGACAAGACCAAGCAAGUUAAUGCACAUACCAAAACUGGCUGGUCAGAAGGAUGCCACCGUUGCCUCUGUCCUCGGAGUGGCAUACUUGUGGGUUGAUUUCCGCGGGGCUCUCUUGGUGAAUCUAGUAGAGUGGAAUGAGAUCAUACUGAGAGUCGCGGGAGUGCAACAAACUCAGGAGCAGGACUCGUUUAGGUUGGAUCUCCACACCACCGGGUGUUUUCUGUAUUUGGCAUUGGUGGAUACGCUGGUCAGUUUUAGAUCAAAAUGGUUAUGGCGUCUAAACUAA